RNAcentral lists this long non-coding RNA (1270 nucleotides) under Marmota monax (woodchuck). The record is from RNAcentral. Lineage: Eukaryota; Metazoa; Chordata; Mammalia; Rodentia; Sciuridae.
CUUAUAAAUCACAAAGAUGAAAAGUAGAAAAGUUAAGUAAAAGAUAUGAACAGGUAAGUCCUAAAAAAGGGCAGUAGAAAAACUAAAUAUCCACAAAUACUGAAUGGAUAGACUGUGACCUAUUCACACAAUAGAAUGUUAAACAAUGAAUAUGAACCAAUCAUAGUUACAUAUAUUCCAGUAUAGGUGAACUUCACAGUGGAAAGAGUAAACAACUUACAGAAGAGCCUGCAACUUACAGUUAGCUACAUUACAUAUAUAUAAUCUUAAAACAUUGCUUAGAGAGCUGUGACAGAGCUGAUAACUCACCAGAGCAACUGGGAAUGGCUGAACCAGUUGUUUAUGGCCAGUAUCUAUCAUGAGUGGUAGAUAUUUUGAAAGUGACCCUUACCAUUCUCAUGCAACAGAACCGUAAAAAAAAAAAAAAAAAAUGCAUGUGUAUGAUAAACACCAAAUUUAGGAUGGCAGUUACCUCUAGGGAGGAAGAGGUCACAACCACAUAAGUAAUAUUUUAUUUCUUAACUAGGAUGCUAAAGCACUUGAGCACUUAACAGUAAUCUUUUCAAAAGACCCAACAUGUGUUGUCCCACCUUGUGCCCAUUCCCAACUCUUGCCUGCACAUACAGGCUAUAAAAGCUCAAACUGUCACCUUUUCAGCAGCUUUGGCAGAUAUCAGAAGCCACACAACACAAUACCAUCCAAGUAGAUGGAUAUGAAGUGCAAGCCCUGCCCUUUCCCCCUCCUCCUGUCUAGGAGGCAGACAUAGACUUGGGCUGCGUCUGGGAAUGAGCUGGAAAGGCCAAGAGGAUGACAGAGAUGCUGACCUUAAAGCUGUCAAGGAUAUGCCCCAAUGUUAGCAGCUGGCAGUUGUUAAGAGUUUGAUGAAAAGAGGAAACUGCAUGAAGGAAGGCCAAGGGCAAAGGUUCUCAACCAUUUGGUCCAUGUGGGGAGAUUUUAGAAAUACCAAUGCCCAGGUUUUGACUCUCCAGAUUCUGAUUUAAUUGCUCUGGGAUGUGGCCUGAGCAUUAGGAUUUUUUUCUUUUAAAGUUUCUUAAGUGAUUCAGCCAGGGUUGAAACCAAAUUCUAGGGGCACACAGAGAGCAACUAAUGUACUCACUAUCCAGUGAUUCAGAUUUCUUAUUAUGCACAACCAAGAAAUACUACUGUCAUUGAAUUUUAUCUUACUAGAAGUUUAAUGUAUCCCUAACUGAUGUAAUUAUACUGUUUCUAAAGGCUGGCCCAAGAAUAUACAUACAUAAAAAAUGGUGAA